RNAcentral lists this ribosomal RNA (324 nucleotides) under uncultured Euglypha. RNAcentral describes it as "SSU rRNA". The stretch from base 109 to 324 matches the Rfam family "Eukaryotic small subunit ribosomal RNA", at positions 738 to 955 of the family's 1831-position model. Lineage: Eukaryota; Cercozoa; Imbricatea; Euglyphida; Euglyphidae. The record is from RNAcentral.
GAUUUCUGACGAACCGGAGUGGCCCGUUCCCUUUCUGGGAAUGAGUGCCGCUUUGAGUUUGUCAUCCUUCCAGAGAGCUGCGUCUACCGUUUACUCGGCCGGACGUAUGCGAUCUGAAUCUAUUACUUUGAAAAAAUUAGAGUGUUUAAAGCAGGCUUAUGCUCUGAAUACAUUAGCAUGGAAUAAUAAUUUAGGACUUUGGUUCUAUUCUGUUGGUUUCUAGGACUGAAGUAAUGAUUGAUAGGGAUAGUUGGGGGUGCUAGUAUUCCGCGGCCAGAGGUGAAAUUCUUGGAUUCGUGGAAGACUAACUACUGCGAAAGCAUU